Long non-coding RNA from Poeciliopsis prolifica (blackstripe livebearer), 1404 nucleotides. RefSeq lists it as uncharacterized. The transcript has 4 exons. Lineage: Eukaryota; Metazoa; Chordata; Actinopteri; Cyprinodontiformes; Poeciliidae. The record is from RefSeq and is a predicted model, not a curated record.
ACAGGAGACGAAUCAGAACUUCAGUUACAGCUGAAGAGCUCAUCCUAUGACACACAGAUAGUUUUACAACUAAGGAGUAUCUCUGGAAGUUCUCCUUAGGAAGAUUAAGACACCACAUGCAAAAACAUGCUCAAGGUUAAAGAAAGGAGUGACCUGAGCAGACUAAAGUUGGCCGGGUAUUUUGCAUCGUGUGCCUCCUGGGCCCUGAACAAGCUGCUGGAGGGAUCUCCAGAUCUUCCUCAUUGACCAUCGCGAAGGCUGCAUCCAUGCAGCUGGCUGAUCUGAAAUCCCAACUAACACUGUCAUUGAGCAAAGUUCACAGUGUUGUUUGGACAAUGUGCUGUUCUAUACAUAUAUAUCCACAAUAGCAACUGCCUUGGCCAUAAAGCUACCAAAUUUCCUUAAUUAAAACUGCUGACUAUCAUGUCUCAUCCCAUGUAUAAUCCAUUUGCCUCUGGAAAUAGAAAUGCCUCUCAGGGACAAUAUGGACUCUCUACUGGACAGACGCAGGAGACCAUGUGGAGGACUAUACAUAAUCUUGGACCUGGAUCCAACAUAAACUUACCUGGACAGUCAUUUGAUGAAACUAGUUUGCCUGCAAUCAACAGGCCUGAACCAGGUCAAACCACUUCAAACAUUCAUUUACAGAGUACCUUCAAUAUUUCUGCCAGAAAUCAAAUAACAUACCAAUCUUUUGAUCAAGGUGCCACAACAGAGUCAAGCUUUUCUGUCUCAUCAGCUUCUCAAUAUCAUCAACAAUCCAAUGUUUGUGGUGGGAGUAGUUCUUUUAACUGGUUCCCAGAUUGUAGGAGUUCUAAUAAGAUAAUUCCUCAGAGUCUUCGUUAAAUCCUUAUUACGCAGCUCAACCAAUCGGCCAACCUCUAUCCCAUGAGCUUGUUCUCACACCUUGGCAAGCUGAAAAGAUUUUAUUGCAUUGUGGAUUUCAAAAGAAGACUUGAAUGAACUCAUGAAGUACCCUGACGAGGAAACUACAGCUGAGAAGCUACCCUACACUUUACAAAAGAUUCGUAUGAAGAAUGCCGACAGAGCUUUACCUGCGUCCACAUCAGACUCUACGUCUCAACCAAGUUCAAGUGGAAUUGUUAGUUUGAAAAAGCCAACAAUAUUUCAUGAUGAACCACCAUCAAUCAGUUGUCACACAUCUGGGGAUGAACAAACAAAUGUUGAGGGUAACUCUGUUAAGAACUUUCUCAAUAAGGCUCAAAGUUGUGGAUUCACUGUGCUGAUGAACAAUGACGCUAGCAGUCAGGCUAAAAGAGUGUCUGAAAAAUGCUUAGAGUUAAACACCAGUGGUUCCACUUCUUCACGUGACCAGCUGGGCUCUAUUACCUGCUUGAGCUCAGCAAGGAAUGUUGUAGCUUCGGCCCAACAGUGGAAACUCAA